CAGUAGCCGCGGGAAUACGUAGGUGGCAAGCGUUGUCCGGAAUUAUUGGGCGUAAAGGGCUCGCAGGCGGUUUCUUAAGUCUGAUGUGAAAGCCCCCGGCUCAACCGGGGAGGGUCAUUGGAAACUGGGAAACUUGAGUGCAAGAGGGGAGAGUGGAAUUCCAUGUGUAGCGGUGAAAUGCGUAGAUAUAUGGAGGAACACCGGUGGCGAAAGCGGCUCUCUGGCUUGUAACUGACGCUGAGGCUCGAAAGCGUGGGGAGCAAACAGGAUUAGAUACCCGUGUAGUCCCUGUCUCUUAUAC
This 301-nucleotide ribosomal RNA is filed under the name uncultured bacterium. RNAcentral describes it as "partial 16S ribosomal RNA". It matches the Rfam family "Bacterial small subunit ribosomal RNA", at positions 509 to 807 of the family's 1533-position model. The record is from RNAcentral.